RNAcentral lists this ribosomal RNA (694 nucleotides) under uncultured bacterium. Its description in RNAcentral is "bacterial SSU rRNA". It matches the Rfam family "Bacterial small subunit ribosomal RNA", at positions 32 to 715 of the family's 1533-position model. The record is from RNAcentral.
AACGCUAGCUACAGGCUUAACACAUGCAAGUCGAGGGGUAACGAGAGGAAAGCUUGCUUUCCUUGUCGACGACCGGCGCACGGGUGAGUAACGCGUAUCCAACCUGCCCCCAACUAGGGAAUAACCUUGCGAAAGUAAGACUAAUACCCUAUAAUUUCCUCAGAUGUCAUCUGGCGAGGAAUAAAGAUUUAUCGGUUGUGGAUGGGGAUGCGUCUGAUUAGCUUGUUGGCGGGGUAACGGCCCACCAAGGCAACGAUCAGUAGGGGUUCUGAGAGGAAGGUCCCCCACAUUGGAACUGAGACACGGUCCAAACUCCUACGGGAGGCAGCAGUGAGGAAUAUUGGUCAAUGGGCGGAAGCCUGAACCAGCCAAGUAGCGUGCAGGAUGACGGCCCUAUGGGUUGUAAACUGCUUUUAUACAGGAAUAAAGUUAGCCACGUGUGGUUAUUUGUAGGUACUGUAUGAAUAAGGACCGGCUAAUUCCGUGCCAGCAGCCGCGGUAAUACGGAAGGUCCAGGCGUUAUCCGGAUUUAUUGGGUUUAAAGGGAGCGUAGGCCGUCUGUUAAGCGUGUUGUGAAAUGUAGAUGCUCAACAUCUGAAUUGCAGCGCGAACUGGCAGACUUGAGUGUGCGCAACGUAGGCGGAAUUCGUGGUGUAGCGGUGAAAUGCUUAGAUAUCACGAAGAACUCCGAUUG